CUCCUGCACUCUGGUCAUUUGAACAUAACCAGCUGCUGUAAGUGCCUUCACAGUCAAUGGUGAUAAACCACAUUCGUCAAAUCUUUUCUGACUGAGAAUGGAUUCCUCCUCACCUGUCUCACUAUUCUCGCCAUUUUCAGCCAACUUUUUCUUCCCAAGCUCAUGUCUAAUCAACUCCACCUCCUUGGCAAAAUCCGACUCCUUCUCAAGCUCCUUCAAUGGCACUCUUUUCGUUGUCUUCAC
RNAcentral lists this unclassified non-coding RNA (243 nucleotides) under Hevea brasiliensis (rubber tree). Lineage: Eukaryota; Viridiplantae; Streptophyta; Magnoliopsida; Malpighiales; Euphorbiaceae. The record is from RNAcentral.